This 253-nucleotide ribosomal RNA is filed under the name uncultured bacterium. RNAcentral's name for it is "partial 16S ribosomal RNA". It matches the Rfam family "Bacterial small subunit ribosomal RNA", at positions 524 to 776 of the family's 1533-position model. The record is from RNAcentral.
UACGGGGGGGGCAAGCGUUGUUCGGAAUUACUGGGCGUAAAGGGCGCGUAGGCGGCCUUCUAAGUCGGACGUGAAAUCCCUCGGCUUAACCGAGGAACUGCGUCCGAUACUGAAAGGCUUGAAUCCGGGAGAGGGAUGUGGAAUUCCAGGUGUAGCGGUGAAAUGCGUAGAUAUCUGGAGGAACACCGGUGGCGAAGGCGGCGUUCUGGACUGCAACUGACACUGAGAGACGAAAGCCAGGGGAGCAAACGGG